This is a long non-coding RNA of Papaver somniferum (opium poppy), 102 nucleotides long. RefSeq lists it as uncharacterized. NCBI's taxonomy places the organism in Eukaryota, Viridiplantae, Streptophyta, Magnoliopsida, Ranunculales, Papaveraceae. The transcript is spliced from 3 exons. The record is from RefSeq and is a predicted model, not a curated record.
AGGUGGCACACAACAGGCAAUAUACAAAAGAGACUCUUAUAAGGAAAAGAGCAUUCUUAUUGUUUUCAGUUCUUCUACCACAAAGUUUACACAAGAUGUGCA